CGAGAUUUCGAAUAAAUGUAUUUCGUGGAAUUGAACUUUAUAUAUUGAUGAAUAUUGUGCAUACAACCUCUAGUAUUUACUCCUUUGAUGCUUUCUCUCGAAUACAAGUUAAAACUUAUAACUUUUUGAUCUUCGAUCUUUAGGAUAUUGUAGUUGCAAGUUGAUUUGAACUUCGAUCUUAUGGAAUCCAAGGAAAGUUUAAUCUUCCAACUUUCAGAAGUUGUUGAUCUCCAGGUUGAUAUGAACUUUGACGUCUUGAGAGCUUGUAGAAGUUUGAAUCUUCAAUUCUUCAGUACUUCAGAGGUUCAAUUCUUUAUUCAACCAAAGACCCCUUUUAAAAUGAAUGGCAAUGGUCUCUAUUUAUAGAGAAAUUUCAUGGGCUUUAGGUGAACUUGGGCUCAUUUGCUUGCUAGACUUGGACUUGGGCCCAUUUGAUUGUUGGGCUUGGAC
RNAcentral lists this long non-coding RNA (450 nucleotides) under Cucumis sativus (cucumber). Its description in RNAcentral is "long non-coding RNA (CSAT_LNC003216)". The record is from RNAcentral. Lineage: Eukaryota; Viridiplantae; Streptophyta; Magnoliopsida; Cucurbitales; Cucurbitaceae.